Molecule: ribosomal RNA, 934 nt
Filed under: Antrodia sitchensis
Lineage: Eukaryota; Fungi; Basidiomycota; Agaricomycetes; Polyporales; Fomitopsidaceae
Description: LSU rRNA
Rfam family: Eukaryotic large subunit ribosomal RNA
Source: RNAcentral
AGCAUAUCAAUAAGCGGAGGAAAAGAAACUAACAAGGAUUCCCCUAGUAACUGCGAGUGAAGCGGGAAAAGCUCAAAUUUAAAAUCUGGCGGCUUUUGGCUGUCCGAGUUGUAGUCUGGAGAAGUGCUUUCCGCGCUGGACCGUGUACAAGUCUCUUGGAACAGAGCGUCAUAGAGGGUGAGAAUCCCGUCUUUGACACGGACUACCAGUGCUUUGUGAUGCGCUCUCAAAGAGUCGAGUUGUUUGGGAAUGCAGCUCAAAAUGGGUGGUAAAUUCCAUCUAAAGCUAAAUAUUGGCGAGAGACCGAUAGCGAACAAGUACCGUGAGGGAAAGAUGAAAAGCACUUUGGAAAGAGAGUUAAACAGUACGUGAAAUUGCUGAAAGGGAAACGCUUGAAGUCAGUCGCGUUGACCAGAACUCAGCCUUGCUUUUGCUUGGUGCACUUUCUGGUUGACGGGCCAGCAUCAAUUUUGAUUGUUGGAUAAAGGCUGGGGGAAUGUGGCACCUUCGGGUGUGUUAUAGCCCUCGGUCACAUACAACAGUUGGGAUUGAGGAUCUCAGCACGCCUUUAUGGUCGGGGUUCGCCCACGUUCGUGCUUAGGAUGCUGGCAUAAUGGCUUUAAACGACCCGUCUUGAAACACGGACCAAGGAGUCUAACAUGCCUGCGAGUGUUUGGGUGGAAAACCCGAGCGCGUAAUGAAAGUGAAAGUUGAGAUCCCUGUCAUGGGGAGCAUCGACGCCCGGACCUGACCUUCUGUGACGGCUCCGCGGUAGAGCAUGUAUGUUGGGACCCGAAAGAUGGUGAACUAUGCCUGAAUAGGGUGAAGCCAGAGGAAACUCUGGUGGAGGCUCGUAGCGAUUCUGACGUGCAAAUCGAUCGUCAAAUUUGGGUAUAGGGGCGAAAGACUAAUCGAACCAUCUAGUAGCUGGUUC